This 465-nucleotide ribosomal RNA is filed under the name uncultured bacterium. Its description in RNAcentral is "partial 16S ribosomal RNA". It matches the Rfam family "Bacterial small subunit ribosomal RNA", at positions 339 to 795 of the family's 1533-position model. The record is from RNAcentral.
CUACGGGAUGCUCCAGUGGGGAAUAUUGCACAAUGGAGGAAACUCUGAUGCAGCAAUGCCGCGUGAGUGAAGAAGGCCCUUGGGUCGUAAAGCUCUUUCGAUUGGGAAGCAGGGUCAUGUAGUUAAUACCUGCAUGAUUUGACGGUACCUAAAGAAGAAGCACCGGCUAAUUUCGUGCCAGCAGCCGCGGUAAUACGGAAGGUGCAAGCGUUGUUCGGAAUCAUUGGGCGUAAAGCGCACGUAGGUGGGUAGGUAUGUCGAUUGUGAAAGCCCAGGGCUUAACCCUGGAAUUGCAGUCGAAACUGUCUAUCUUGAAUAUCUGAGGGGGUGGGGGAAUUCCUGGUGGAGAAGUGAAAUUCGUAGAGAUCAGGAGGAACAUCUGAGGCGAAGGCGCCUACCUGGCAGAAUAUUGACGCUGAGGUGCGAAAGCGUGGGUAGCAAACAGGAUUAGAUACCCCCGUAGUC